This 733-nucleotide long non-coding RNA is filed under the name Homo sapiens (human). RNAcentral's name for it is "long non-coding RNA NONHSAT160153.1". The record is from RNAcentral. Lineage: Eukaryota; Metazoa; Chordata; Mammalia; Primates; Hominidae.
GCAAGAAGCUCUGGGAUCAAUUAAAAUGCCAGGCUUUUCCAGGCUGGUUUCCAGCGCAUCUGUGCAUGAUUCCACAUAAAUUUAGGGAAUUAGAGAUCAGACAAAGUUAUAAGACAGCUGUUGAUGUCCCACUCACCAGUUAGGAGGAUUGAGAAGAAGCUGCUUUCCAGGAAAUCCCAGUCGACUUCCAGAUAGAUCUCUUUGGUCAAAAAUGUGUCACAGCUCCAACUCUUUUUUUGUAAGAUGGUGAACACAGGCAGGGGCCACAUCUGACUUACCUCUAGCUCCAGGUACUAAAGAGCCACUGGGGAGAGCUCAGUCAUGUAAUCCAAUACUAUCUAGCAGGAAGACUAUUUCAAAAAGUAGAUGAAAGUAGGAGAGCUGAGUAUGUUAGCCUAUGAAAGGACUGUGUCUUCUAUCUCUUGGAUUGCUCACUCUGGAGAAGCCAGCCAUCAUGCUGAAGGUCCAUGUGACAAGGGACAGAGGCCUGACAAAAUCCAUGUGAGUGAGCCUGCAAGAGGGUCCUCUGCAAGAUAAUCCUUCAGAUGACACCACAGACGUAGUUGACAACUGGACUGCAAUCUAAUAAAACACCUUGAGACAGAGGCACUCAGCUAAACCUAACCCUGAUUCCUGACACAUGGAAGCUGCAAGACAUGAACUACGGAGUCCCCAUCCAAGGCACUGAAUGAGAACAUCUGGAACACUCAAUAAAUAUUUCAUCAACAAAUAA